UUUGUACUCCCUCCGUCCAGAAAUACUUAUCAUUAAAAUAAAUAAAAAGGGAUGUAUCUAGAUGUAUUUUAAUUCUAGAUACAUCUUUUUUUUUGUCCAUUUUGAUGACAAGUAUUUUCGGACGGAGGGAGUAAGGU
Molecule: non-coding RNA, 137 nt
Organism: Triticum aestivum (bread wheat)
Lineage: Eukaryota; Viridiplantae; Streptophyta; Magnoliopsida; Poales; Poaceae
Source: Rfam